Oreochromis aureus is the source of this 944-nucleotide long non-coding RNA. NCBI's taxonomy places the organism in Eukaryota, Metazoa, Chordata, Actinopteri, Cichliformes, Cichlidae. The record is from Ensembl.
UCCACUCGCAGUUCAGAUUAUUUAAAUCAAUGUGCCUGAGGAGGAAAUUAGUGGACAUGGAGAUUACUUUUAUUUUUAUUGGACAAAAAGAACUGCUAGGACAGAAACGUCUACAUUAUGCUGCUAACAAAACAGUCUCUUUGCGAGCAGCUGCACAGACAGCAUGCUAACACUAAUGUUAGUCAAGAAGAAUGCUGCCACAGACAGAUCCAAAGAGACUAGAGACUUUCUGAAAGGACAAUGAAUAACUCCAAGCUUUUGUUAUGAGGAGUACAUUUCCAUAUCUCUGAUUAAUGUUGUUCUGGCAUAAGAAAAGAAAAUACAACACACUUGUCAAGCGUGUGUCGGUAGCAUCCAGUCACAGUGUGUGUUAGACAGAUUGUUCCAAACCACGGCUCUAAAUAUGCGGCUCAAUCCUCUGUUGUUGUUAGCAUCCAAGGCUAACACGCGGCAUCACAGCAGCCAAUGACAGACGUAGAGGAGGGGCAUACCACCAGAGAGCAUUGUGGGUACUCCAAAAGUAAUGAUUUAUUUCAUUUCAGAGCUCGCAGACGAGUAUACUUCAUUAUUCGGUGUAUUAACAUUAUUUCACAACUACGAUACGUGACACAGUAAACAUAAGCAGCACACACUGCUGUUAGCACCGUGACCGAGAUGGACAGGGUCGUCAUAGUAGUAGCUGGGUCGGCGCAUUUGUUCCUUAAGACUAUACUUUCAGGGAUCAUUUCUAUAGUUUUCAACUUGAGAAAUGUGUUUCUAAAGUGUGUGGUCUCGCUAACCACGAUGAUGAGUUGGUGAUACUUCUUCUUGAGCGCGAAGCGGGUGGAGAGACUUGAUUCAUUUCAUAUGCUCUUUACUUUUGAUGACCGUUCACUGUUUUCUCGAAAACAGCGAUGGGAGAAGUAUGAUCAGAGUGGUUACGAAGUACUGUAAAAGAUUAAUUU